UACGUAGGUGGCAAGCGUUGUCCGGAUUUACUGGGCGUAAAGAGCGCGCAGGCGGUCGUUCAAGUCGCGUGUGAAAGCCCCCGGCUCAACUGGGGAGGGUCACGCGAUACUGAUCGACUGGAAGGCAGGAGAGGGAUGCAGAAUUCCAGGUGUAGCGGUGAAAUGCGUAGAUAUCUGGAGGAACACCGAUGGCGAAGGCAGCUGCCUGGCCUGACACUGACGCUGAGGUGCGAAAGCGUGGGGAGCGAACGGG
Molecule: ribosomal RNA, 253 nt
Filed under: uncultured bacterium
Lineage: Bacteria
Description: partial 16S ribosomal RNA
Rfam family: Bacterial small subunit ribosomal RNA
Source: RNAcentral